Molecule: ribosomal RNA, 449 nt
Filed under: uncultured bacterium
Lineage: Bacteria
Description: partial 16S ribosomal RNA
Rfam family: Bacterial small subunit ribosomal RNA
Source: RNAcentral
AACGAACGCUGGCGGCAUGCCUAACACAUGCAAGUCGAACGAAGCCUUCGGGCUUAGUGGCGCACGGGUGCGUAACGCGUGGGAAUCUGCCCUUGGGUUCGGAAUAACAGUUAGAAAUGACUGCUAAUACCGGAUGAUGUCUUCGGACCAAAGAUUUAUCGCCCAAGGAUGAGCCCGCGUAGGAUUAGGUAGUUGGUGGGGUAAUGGCCCACCAAGCCGACGGUCCUUAGCUGGUCUGAGAGGAUGAUCAGCCACACUGGGACUGAGACACGGCCCAUACUCCUACGAGAGGCAGCAGUGGGGAAUAUUGGACAAUGGGCGAAAGCCUGAUCCAGCAAUGCCGCGUGACUAAUGAAGGCCUUAGGGUUGUAAAGCUCUUUUACCAGGGAUGAUAAUGACAGUACCUGGAAAAUAAGCUCCGGCUAACUCCGUGCCAGCCGCCGCUGUAA